Molecule: ribosomal RNA, 389 nt
Filed under: uncultured bacterium
Lineage: Bacteria
Description: bacterial SSU rRNA
Rfam family: Bacterial small subunit ribosomal RNA
Source: RNAcentral
AUUGAACGCUGGCGGCAUGCCUUACACAUGCAAGUCGAACGGCAGCACGGGAGCAAUCCUGGUGGCGAGUGGCGAACGGGUGAGUAAUACAUCGGAACGUGCCCAGUAGUGGGGGAUAACCCGGCGAAAGCCGGACUAAUACCGCAUACGACCUACGGGUGAAAGCAGGGGAUCGCAAGACCUUGCGCUAUCGGAGCGGCCGAUGUCAGAUUAGCUUGUUGGCGGGGUAAAAGCCCACCAAGGCGACGAUCUGUAGCUGGUCUGAGAGGACGACCAGCCACACUGGGACUGAGACACGGCCCAGACUCCUACGGAGGCAGCAGUGGGGAAUUUUGGACAAUGGGCGCAAGCCUGAUCCAGCCAUGCCGCGUGCGGGAAGAAGGCCUCGG